Molecule: ribosomal RNA, 460 nt
Filed under: uncultured bacterium
Lineage: Bacteria
Description: partial 16S ribosomal RNA
Rfam family: Bacterial small subunit ribosomal RNA
Source: RNAcentral
CCUACGGGUGGCAGCAGUGAGGAAUAUUGGUCAAUGGGCGUAAGCCUGAACCAGCCAAGUCGCGUGAGGGAUGAAGGUUCUCUGGAUCGUAAACCUCUUUUGUAGGGGAGUAAAAUGUGGGACGUUUCCUUUUUUGUAUGUGCCUUAUGAAUAAGGAUCAGCUGACUCCGUGCCAGCAGCCGCGGUAAUACGGGGGAUCCGAGCGUUAUCCGGAUUUGUUGGGUUUAAAGGGUGCGUAGGCGGGCUUGUAAGUCCGUGGUGAAAGUCGGUGGCUCAACCAUAGAAUUGCCGUUGAAACUGGGAGGCUGGAGGAUGGUUGAGGCAGGCGGAAUGCGUGGUGUAGCGGUGAAAUGCUUAGAUAUCACGAAGAACCCCGAUUGCGAAGGCAGCCUGCCAAGCCAUGACUGACGUUGAUGCACGAAAGCGUGGGGAUCAAACAGGAUUAGAUACCCUUGUAGUC